CUUCGGUCGUUUUUCGUUUCAGCCGCUCAACGACAAUCCUAUGUUUGGUCCUUCUUCUUCAACUGGUGGUUGGCAUGGCCCUAGGUUGAAAAGUCAUCUUCAGGAAUUGAUGGGUGAAGAACAGGUUUUGAUCUUAACUCUGUGAAGCCUCAUGAGUACAAACUCAUUAUGAAUUGUGGUUGCAGGAGGUGAUAGUGCAGUAGGUUGGGUUUUGGGACUUCUCGGUACAGGC
Impatiens glandulifera is the source of this 232-nucleotide long non-coding RNA. RefSeq lists it as uncharacterized. The record is from RefSeq and is a predicted model, not a curated record. NCBI's taxonomy places the organism in Eukaryota, Viridiplantae, Streptophyta, Magnoliopsida, Ericales, Balsaminaceae. The transcript is spliced from 4 exons.